GAUGAACGCUGGCGGCGUGCCUAAUACAUGCAAGUCGAGCGAACGGACGAGAAGCUUGCUUCUCUGAUGUUGGCGGCGGACGGGUGAGUAACACGUGGAUAACCUACCUAUAAGACUGGGAUAACUUCGGGAAACCGUAGCUAAUACCGGAUAAUAUUUUGAACCGCAUGGUUCAAAAGUGAAAGACGGUCUUGCUGUCACUUAUAGAUGGAUCCGCGCUGCAUUAGCUAGUUGGUAAGGUAACGGCUUACCAAGGCAACGAUGCAUAGCCGACCUGAGAGGGUGAUCGGCCACACUGGAACUGAGACACGGUCCAGACUCCUACGGGAGGCAGCAGUAGGGAAUCUUCCGCAAUGGGCGAAAGCCUGACGGAGCAACGCCGCGUGAGUGAUGAAGGCCUUCGGAUCGUAAAACUCUGUUAUUAGGGAAGAACAUAUGUGUAAGUAACUGUGCACAUCUUGACGGUACCUAAUCAGAAAGCCACGGCUAACUACGUG
This 497-nucleotide ribosomal RNA is filed under the name uncultured bacterium. RNAcentral describes it as "partial 16S ribosomal RNA". It matches the Rfam family "Bacterial small subunit ribosomal RNA", at positions 28 to 507 of the family's 1533-position model. The record is from RNAcentral.